This 642-nucleotide ribosomal RNA is filed under the name uncultured bacterium. RNAcentral describes it as "bacterial SSU rRNA". It matches the Rfam family "Bacterial small subunit ribosomal RNA", at positions 235 to 884 of the family's 1533-position model. The record is from RNAcentral.
GGCCUAUCAGCUUGUUGGUAAGGUAAUGGCUUACCAAGGCUUCGACGGGUAGCGGGUGUGAGAGCAUGACCCGUCUCACUGGGACUGAGACACUGCCCAGACUCCUACGGGAGGCUGCAGUCAAGAAUCUUCCUCAAUGGCCGAAAGGCUGAAGGAGCGACGCCGCGUGCAUGAAGACGCCCCUCGGGGUGUAAAGUGCUUUUCUCUGGGACGAAAUUUUGACGGUACCAGAGGAAUAAGGGGCUGCUAACUUCGUGCCAGCAGCAGCGGUAAUACGAAGGCCCCAAGCGUUAUCCGGAUUUAUUGGGCGUAAAGGGUCCGUAGGCGGUUUGUCGCAUCUCCUGUUAAAUCAUCCGGCUUAACCGGGUGGCUGCGGGAGAGAUGGAUAAACUAGAGACCGGAAGAGGUAAGCGGAAUUGCUGGUGUAGGGGUUAAAUCCGUUAAUAUCAGCAGGAACACCGAAUGCGUAGGCAGCUUACUAAGACGGUUCUGACGCUCAGGGACGAAAGCGUGGGGAGCGAAUGGGAUUAGAUACCCCAGUAGUCCACGCCGUAAACGUUGGAUGCUAAGCAUUGAGAGUAUCGACCCUUUCAGUGCUGUUAUUUUAAGGUAACCCGUUAAGCACCCCGCCUGGGGAGUACG